This is a long non-coding RNA of Sinocyclocheilus anshuiensis, 92 nucleotides long. RefSeq lists it as uncharacterized. The record is from RefSeq and is a predicted model, not a curated record. NCBI's taxonomy places the organism in Eukaryota, Metazoa, Chordata, Actinopteri, Cypriniformes, Cyprinidae. The transcript is spliced from 3 exons.
GUCUGCGGUGCAUUGGCGAUUCUCUCAGAUCGCAUCUUUGAUAAUUCACACUGAGUAAUUGUCACUCGCGUGAAUGAGCACCGAUUUGCCUC